RNAcentral lists this ribosomal RNA (487 nucleotides) under uncultured bacterium. RNAcentral describes it as "bacterial SSU rRNA". It matches the Rfam family "Bacterial small subunit ribosomal RNA", at positions 28 to 524 of the family's 1533-position model. The record is from RNAcentral.
GACGAACGCUGGCGGCGCGCCUAACACAUGCAAGUCGAACGGGAUCUUCUGGAAGCUUGCUUCUGGCAGAUCUAGUGGCGGACGGGUGAGUAACACGUGAGCAACCUGCCCUUGAGAGGGGAAUAACGUCUGGAAACGGACGCUAAUACCGCAUAACAUGCCGGUGUGGCAUCACAUUGGCAUCAAAGGAGAAAUCCGCUCAAGGGUGGGCUCGCGCCUGAUUAGAUAGUUGGUGAGGUAAUGGCUCACCAAGUCUGCGAUCAGUAGCCGGACUGAGAGGUUGAUCGGCCACAUUGGGACUGAGACACGGCCCAGACUCCUACGGGAGGCAGCAGUGGGGAAUAUUGGGCAAUGGGGGAAACCCUGACCCAGCGACGCCGCGUGAGUGAAGACGGCCUUCGGGUUGUAAAGCUCUGUUGCAGAGGACGAUAAUGACGGUACUCUGUGAGGAAGCCACGGCUAACUACGUGCCAGCAGCCGCGGUAAU